GUGCAGAGUAUCAUUGCAGCGCUUUUCCAGGGAGUAACGUGCUGCACUGGUUCAGGGCUUUGUCUUUAUUCACAACACAUUCAUGUGCCUCAGCAUGGGGGCAGCUGCACUGUUGCCUGCCAGCCUGUCCUCUUUGACUGCCGAAUGAACCAAAGGAUAACUCUCCAUUCGUGAGAGAGAGUGAGCUACAGAGGAAGAAAGACCACGCAAAAGGGAGGGGGAGAGAGGGGGGCGAAGAGGAUGUUCUCCGGCUCACUCCUACAUUAGGUCUCUGUGCAAAGGCAGAGGCUGUGGGAGCAGCAUCAAGCAAGACUUCGGGCAGUGAUUCUAACUAUUGCCUAUGAACACCGUGGCUGGGACGACUUUGACGAGGCAAUUUAUUACUUACGCAUAGAACACUGGCUGUGCUGAAACUGGGAGCGCAAACAGCCCCUUGUUUUCUAAUUUAGAGACUUGCAUCUUUUCGACACUCAACAGUAUCAAGACACUCUGCUACUACAGAUUGAUUUCCACCAUCAACACCUUUACCUCUUCCCGCCUGAAAAUAAAAUAUGAAAUAUAACAAGUAAAUCGCAAUCUACCUUGGGAAAUCAUCUUUCGGGAAUUUAUCUAAGAAGAACUUCUUAUGAUAUAUGAAGUCUGGGGGUAAGACCUGCAGUAAUUUCCCUUAAGAUAAGGCAGAAGGAUCCAGCUGAGAACCCUACUCCAAUGGCUGUUCUUCCCCUCUCCCAGUCCUGUUCCUUGAAGGGAUCCUUUCUCAACCCUCUCUCUCAUUAUUUUUGUGAGUAUUCAUUGAAAGACCUUGGGGAGAAAGAGUUACAAGAGAGUUCAAACUCCCCCUUCAUCUUUAGCCUUCUAUUUAUCCACUUAGACUACCAUAAAAUACCAAAAACCAGAUGGCUUACAAAGCAGGGAAAUGUAUUUUUCACAGUUCCAGAGCUAGUAAUCUAAAAUCAAGGUGUCAGCAGGAUUGGAUUCUGGCAAGGCCUCUUUUCCUGGCCUGUCAACAGCCACCUUCUCACUGUGUCCUCCCAUGGCCUGUCUACUGUGCCAUGUGCAGAGAGCGAGUGCUCAGGUGUCUUUCUCUCUGUCGUAUGGACAUCAAUUCCAUUGAACCAGAGCCCUGCUCUCCUGACAUCAUCAAACCCUGACUACCUCCCAAAGGUCCCAUUUCCAAAUAUCAUCACAUUAGAGGGUAGGGGUUCUACAAAUGAAUCAGAAGGGAAACACAAAUCAGUCCAUAAUAGGCCCCCUUGGAGCUUCACAUGCUUUUGCUAGCCCAUAUGUUGCCCCCUUCAACUUCUUAAUUAUUUCUAACUCAGUUCUUAUGACCGGAAUUCUGCUGUUUCUAUUCCAGUGAAACAGGUACUCAUGUCCCAUAUCUCUCUGCAGAUGCUUAUCUCUGUUUAUGUUUUGGGGUAGUGGGUAGAUAUCAACUCUCUGUUAGGUUUAAGAAAAGUUGUAAUCUUUUAGUUUGCCUGGCUUUCUCAAUUUCUUUCUCUCUUUCUUUUUUUCUUUCUUUCUCUCAGCUUUCUAGGUCUCCUAGUGGUCACCAACAUAUUUUACUUUUAGGAGCCAAAGUUCAGGUAUUUUUCUUCCAAUGGAAUAAAUUAAUUUUGUGGUAAACGCUUAGUCUUAUUUCACAAACGGUACAGAAUAUAUAGCUCAGGUCUCUGAAUCAAAUUAAUCAAAAUAUAACCUACUCUCAAGCGAGUCCUAACUUAUGGCAGUAAUAGAGUUGUAGAAGAUCCAAAACUAUUUCUUAUUACACUGCCCCUAUGAAAUGGACAUACUCUAACCAGAGCUCUGAGUUUAUUAUGUGCCCGAGGCUGUUCAUGUGUUGUCUUACUUAAUCCUCAUAGCAAACAUUUGAAGUAGCCAACAGGAAAAUGAGGCUUAGAGUGACUAAGAAAUGUGCCCAGGGUUGUACAUCUAGCAAAUAGCAUGGAUAAGAUAUGAACCAAAGCAGCUUAACUUCAGAGCCUACACACUUAAUCACUGAACUCCUCUGUCUCCUGAGAAAUGGAAGUAACCUUCAAAUAAUCAUAUGCUGGUGAAUGAAAAAUAAAAUCCAUUAUCUACUUUCUGAGUUACUUGGCCACCCUUUUGGAAGGUGAAUAGGGAUUAGUUUUGUUGGUUUUACAAAUUCAUAAAAAGAGGCCUCCAUGAAAGUUUUGAAAUAAGUCUUUGUUCAUCUGUGUGCUGGCCCAGGUAAAACAACUGUUAUUGUUUUGGUGUACUUAAAUAGGACAUGUGUGUUGAUCUAAAAUAUACACUUAGAUUCAGUACUUAGAUCUGAGCUAGUGAGCUUUUCAUUGUAUGGUGAAUGACUUUUUCACAAUUAAUUGCUAAUGAGAUCCUCCAUUGCGUAGAAAAUAUUCAGAAUAAAACUUCAAAAUUUUAAUGAGUAAAAGUGACCAACGUUUGACCUGUUUUCAUAGACACAUAAUUGAACAAUAAGUAGCUAUCCUAAAAUAAUCAUGGACUCCAAUGGGAGUGUGGUUGAAAUGAUAAUUACUAUAUUACACUGAUUGAUUAAGGUUGUGAAAAGUUAUUAGUGCGAGGGUGAAGGGUCACAAAUUUACGUUGUCCUUAGUUUAAUUUGAAUUCUGUCAAUAAAAGUGGAAAUAAUUGUUGUACUCAUAUUUUAUAAAAAAUUAUUCUCUCUUCCAAUUAAUGUCUUUGUCAUUCUGUAAGCAAUUAAUCCAAAAAUAAAUUAUUGCCUACAACCGUUAUAGAAAACAUGCCUUAUAACAUUUUCUAGUUUUUUUUUUCCCGAGUAAGUCUAUUGACAUAAACUACCACCAACUAAAUGUAAAGAAAUUUUAAGGGAGAGGAGAAUUUUUACAUAAUUACUCAUUCAAACUUGAUUUAAAAAGUUGGGAAGGAAGAAAUUAAUAUUUAUUCAUUGCUAAUAUGGAAUGUUCUAGAUAUUUUGCAUAUUUUAUUUUGCUAUAAUAAAAUUUGAUAAGACACGUUAUUUAUUCCUGUUUCAUAGAUAAGGAAGCUAAAUCUCAUGAGAGGUUACAAAACUUAGCCAAAUUCAUGUAGAUUUUAAAAGGGGUAGUGAAGAUAGUUUUAUCUGCUUUGCUUCAUAUUCAUUCACCAGCAAAAUCACAGUGUAGCCAAAAUACAUUUCAAAAUAACUUUUAAAAAUUAUUGGCCUAAUUUUUUAAAACCUGGUAAUAUCUUCAAGGUUCCUAUUUAAUACGUCAUCCACUGGUUAUUGUAUGGAGCCCAACAGGGUACAAAAUUGUUCGGAAAACAUAUAUGGGGUUAAUAAUUUUUCAAAUGUCUCUAGUAACAGGGUGGUUACUCUGUUAUCCCUUACUCUCUCGGCAAAACUAUUAGCUAUGUAAACAUGUGACAUUUAUGACUGGAGGUGUUAAUAAGGCCUCGUUAGAGAUUUCAACCAUAAUUAGCAGUAAUUACCCAGCAAAAUAUUACCAAACAGAAAAAAGAAAAAAAAAGAAUAAGAGAAAAAAAAUAAUAAAAACACAAAUAGAAAUAGAACCAGGCAGACUUAUUUUCAAAUUCUGGCUCCAACACUUACCCAGGUCAUGUGAUUUUGAGCAACCAGCUUAACCUCUGAGCUCACUUUUCUAAGUUGUCAAAAGGAGAUAAUGUCUGCCUUAUGUGGUUAUUGGAAUAUUCAGUUAUGUAAAGAUUUCUAGCACAGCUCCAGCACCAAAUACUCAAUAGCUGUCAGUUUCUUCUUUUCCUUCUUCUUUUUUUUCCCCUUGUGUUAAUGUCUAAUAAUCAGCACCAUUCCUAAAUUGUCCUAGAAAGUGGCCAUCAGCAUGGGGUUAUGUUUUAAACCAUAUUGCUAAAAAUAAACCAGGACCUGAAGGAGAUGCCACUUGAUGUGGUAAUAGUUGAAGCACCGAUGGUGUCUUACUUUAUACUAAAGUGGAAAUGUAGAAAUCCCUUAGGAUGAUGACUCUUCACGAUGUUCAGGAAGCAUUAUUCUCCAUAGAAGGAGAGAAUUGUUUUAUAUUCUUCCUUGAUAAUGUGUCUCAUUACACCUUUCAAACAUAUACAUUUCAUUACACACUUCUAUUAAAGCAUCUCAUUAAAACUUUCAAAUAUGUACAUCUCAUUACAUUUCCUUUAAGCAUCUUUACAUAUUCUCCAUUUGUGGAUUUCAUUAAAGCCUUUCCCUUGUAUAUCUCAUUACUAAACUACUUUCAUGUAUGUUAUUAUAACCUAUAUUUCUCAUUACGUUACUUAAACAUGCACAUCUCAUUACACCUUUCUAUUUAUGCAUCUCAUUACACUCCUCAAAAAUGUGUAUCAUAUUACAUCUUUCUUCUCCUUUGCAUAUCGUUACAUUUGUCCAAUUAAGCAUCUCAUUAUGCCAUUUCCUUUAUGCAUUUUAUUAUAUCCUUCCUUUUAUCCAUGCCAUUACACUCCUUAAACCCAAGUAUCUAAGUAAACCUCUACUGUGUGCCAUUGUAUACACGUCACAGGUAUGAUCUUCGUUUUUCCAUGUGUCACUUUUCUGGCACCCUUUGAAGAUACAAAUCUUGGUCUGAGGGACUGAAUUGCUUUUUAAAUAUACAUAUCUUAUCACAUAUUUAUUACAUUUUAGAAAAUGUCCCUUUUAUACUUUAAACUAUUGUUUUUUUCCUUUUCUAUUAAAACCUUUCAAGAAUAAGUGACUCAUGCUCUCUUUAAUAAUGUCGAGUAAUAGGUCUCACCACACCCUUCAAAUAGCAACAUCUCCUGUAUUAGAGACCUUUGCAUCCAUAAGCUUUCUUAUAUUCUUUUCAAAUAUGUGCAUCUCAUUGCUGUCUCUUGGAUAUGCAGUGUUAUUUACCCUUGAUCAAUUACAUUUCUUUUCCUACCUUAAAUCUCUCUGUCUUAGAUGGUUGGGGUUAUAGCAUCUGUUCGUUAUCUUCAGCCAUAAAUGAGAUUUCUCCUGUUGUUUGUUCUUCUCGAGGUUAUUACUUUUCCUCUAUACAAAUAUCCUCUCUCCCUGAGGCAAUAGAUGCCUUUGGAAUAAAUUAAGGAGUCAAAUAUAGCCAAAUGGUCUGUGAGUUACUUUACAUAAAUUCUAUUUUAUUAUGAGAGCAUUUUUGUGGUGGUGCUAUUCAAAAGCAUCAAAUUGUUGCAACCUCAAUAUUCACUAUGCUUUAAUUGUGUGAUUUUUGUGAGUAAUAAUCAAAGAAACUUUUGUAGGACAUUUAUUAUAUAGACAUUAUAAUCAAGACUCUAUCAACAACUAAUCCAUUAGAAUCUAAAUAAUAUAUCCAAAAUUCUGUAAAUUGGAGUGUAAAUUGGGACACCUGCCAAGUAUAGUGACUUGAUAACAUUUAUAGAGUAUUGACCCAUCCAGCCCAGACAUACCUCUGUCAUCAAAAGAAUACUAGUUAGACCAAGUAGACUUGAAUUUAAGCCACACUCCCUUCUACUAUGUGAAAAUUGGGCAAAGCUUCUUAAUUUCUUUAAGUAUCUUUACCAUGGCAUGAAGAUAACUUAUACAUCUACCGCCCAUUAAUGUAGUUGAAAAUAUAUAUGUAUCUAUCUCCUAUUAAACAGAGAUAAUUUUUGAUAAACAUGUUUUAAGGUGAUUUGUGCCAUUUUUUAAAUUUCUUGUUUAGUCAUCUUUUAUCAUUCUAUGAUAAUUUCUGAGCUCCUACUAUGUUCCAGGUACUGUUCCAGUUGGCAAUAUAACAAGAAGAGACAAGAUCCAGAUUCUAAUGGAAAUCUAUUUUUUGGGGGGAGAUGUAGAUAAUUACUCAGGAUGUAAAAAGAAUGAACAAAAUUUCAGAUAGUGAGAAAUAUAACAAAGCUGAGAAGCAAAUGGUAUAUUGAGACAUACAGAUGCUUAAUAUUUGAUGCUUUUGAAUAGCACCACUACAAACAACAAAAAGUAGCUGUUAUUACCCCAGGCCAGAAGGACAAGGGCAGGGGAUAUGGUGUCACAGGAACUGGAUGAAAGCUGGACACUGAGAAGGCAGUCUUCCAGAUAGGAGCUGUGGUUCUAAAAGGAUGAAGCCAGUGACAGAUCUAUAGCACUAAAGAAGAGAAAAGAAAGGGAAAAAUAGCCCCAAAUUCUUCCUGCCCCUUCUCUGCUCUCUUACUGCCACUUGCCAUUGUAUGAGUCCAAUAGGAUAGAAGAAAGAACCAUGGUGAUACAUGCUGUAGGACACUCCACUUGAAGACCCUAAUCAGAAUACAUAAGUAGUCUAAAUGGGAAGAGAACACACAAUCCACGUCCACUCUAUGUGAUUUUGCCAUGCCUAACUCACUACAUUCCUUUUUU
RNAcentral lists this long non-coding RNA (6268 nucleotides) under Homo sapiens (human). RNAcentral's name for it is "HSALNT0330687". The record is from RNAcentral. Lineage: Eukaryota; Metazoa; Chordata; Mammalia; Primates; Hominidae.